Molecule: ribosomal RNA, 644 nt
Filed under: uncultured bacterium
Lineage: Bacteria
Description: bacterial SSU rRNA
Rfam family: Bacterial small subunit ribosomal RNA (bases 1-543)
Source: RNAcentral
CCUACGGGAGGCAGCAGUGGGGAAUAUUGGACAAUGGGCGCAAGCCUGAUCCAGCCAUGCCGCGUGUGUGAAGAAGGCCUUCGGGUUGUAAAGCACUUUUAUCCGGAAAGAAAAGCUUUGGGUUAAUACCCUGAAGUCAUGACGGUACCGGAAGAAUAAGCACCGGCUAACUUCGUGCCAGCAGCCGCGGUAAUACGAAGGGUGCAAGCGUUACUCGGAAUUACUGGGCGUAAAGCGUGCGUAGGUGGUUUGUUAAGUCUGAUGUGAAAGCCCUAGGCUCAACCUGGGAAUUGCAUUGGAUACUGGCAGGCUAGAGUGCGGUAGAGGAUAGUGGAAUUCCCGGUGUAGCAGUGAAAUGCGUAGAGAUCGGGAGGAACAUCUGUGGCGAAGGCGACUAUCUGGGCCAGCACUGACACUGAGGCACGAAAGCGUGGGGAGCAAACAGGAUUAGAUACCCUGGUAGUCCACGCCCUAAACGAUGCGAACUGGAUGUUGGGUGCAACUAGGCACUCAGAGUAGAGACGACGACGUUAGUUCGCCGUCCGUGGGUAGGUUACGGUUCGUCGAAGACGUAGAAACGUUAAAAGGUUAAGUUAGGACGGGCGUUGGAGACGUUGACCGACGGACGACGACGAGGGAGGAGG